GAUGAACGCUGGCGGCGUGCCUAAUACAUGCCAGUCGAGCGAACAGACGAGGAGCUUGCUCCUCUGACGUUAGCGGCGGACGGGUGAGUAACACGUGGAUAACCUACCUAUAAGACUGGGAUAACUUCGGGAAACCGGAGCUAAUACCGGAUAAUAUAUUGAACCGCAUGGUUCAAUAGUGAAAGACGGUUUUGCUGUCACUUAUAGAUGGAUCCGCGCCGCAUUAGCUAGUUGGUAAGGUAACGGGUUACCAAGGCAACGAUGCGUAGCCGACCUGAGAGGGUGAUCGGCCACACUGGAGCUGAGACACGGUCCAGGCUCCUACGGGAGGCAGCAGUAGGGAAUCUUCCGCAAUGGGCGAAAGCCUGACGGAGCAACGCCGCGUGAGUGAUGAAGGUCUUCGGAUCGUAAAACUCUGUUAUUAGGGAAGAACAAAUGUGUAAGUAACUAUGCACGUCUUGACGGUACCUAAUCAGAAAGCCACGGCUAACUACGUG
This 497-nucleotide ribosomal RNA is filed under the name uncultured bacterium. RNAcentral's name for it is "partial 16S ribosomal RNA". It matches the Rfam family "Bacterial small subunit ribosomal RNA", at positions 28 to 507 of the family's 1533-position model. The record is from RNAcentral.